AGUCCCCUGUGCCCUGCCUGCUCAUCCCUUCCUACCUCUCCCCACUCCCUGGAACCCAUUGAUAUUCUUCCUGGCAGUGCAGCAUUGCCUCUUCCAGGAGGUAGUGGCAUUGGAAUCAGAUAAUGUGUAUCCUUUUAAAUUAGAACAUUUCACUUUAUGGCUAGCACACUUGGUUGCUGAAUUAAAGGGAUACCUGGAGGCAGCAGGGGAAAAGCCAAGUAUGUCUGGAGUAGAACCUAACCACUUCAGAGUGUGAAGAAGCUCUCCACCACCCCUGGCUGAAUGAAUCACAUGGAAUGGAAGACAACAGGAGAAACAGGCAGACAGAGCUUACCUUACUUCACGGAAUCUAGGAGAAAUGCUGCAAAUUAAGACACAAUCUACCUUCGGAGAAAAUCAAGUGCAGUAGUAUGAACUUUUGUGAGAAUCUUGGAAUCAGCAGAAUUUGAUUUUAUGCCUCUUUAACAGGCAAGAUAAAUUAAGGUCCAGAGGAGUUAGAUGGCAAAGCCAAGCUCUGACUUCCCAGUUCCUGGUCUUCUGGCUUCCAGGUUCCAAGAGCUGAACAACUCCCUGUCAAAGUGACUGUGAGCGCAGCCUUCAUAACAUCAUUACUCAUACUGAUGCAUGGCUCGGCAACCUUUCUUCCUCAUCUUCAGCUCCAAAGUUGUCCUCCUUCAUCCUGGCUGCCUGGAAUACAUAUGCAUGAACCUUGGGUCCUCUUCUUUUCUCUAAUACUUUAAUUGCAGGUGAAACCACAAGGAACAGUUUCUCAUAGAUCUACAGGAUGAAUCUCAGAACUACGAGAAACGAGCACACAGAAAAAUACUCCAUUCGUGCAAGCCCAGGCCCUUCCUCCUCUGAGAGCAUUGUUUCCUGGUCUUGCCAUCUUCAGAUCUUGAGCCAAGAGUCAAGCAGUACUGAUUUGGGGCAAGCUAAAAGUUUCCAGGCAGAGUUGGGUAGAAGAGAGGAAAGUUUAGUAACAUAAGCAUUAACAGAGAUAAUCUGGUACCAAAAGGCGAGCACAAAUUGGAGCAAGGAGGAAAGUGGAUUUCAGUAUAACCUCAGACGGCGCACCCAGUUGUGGGGACCUACACAGGAGUGCCAUCUCCAUUAAGUGGUGUGAUUUGUUUUGAAUGUUGGAAAGACUAAUCCCUAUAUUCUGUGAUGUUUAUCAUUCCUGGCCCCUACCUUCUGAAUGCCAAUAGCACUCUAGACAUUGUGGCCCGAAUGCCUCCACAGAUUUUGCUGAAAUGAAAGCAGCAUUUUCGAACUGAGUACUAGUCUGUCAAGCAAAAACUAAAACUAUUCCAGUGACCAAUAAUUUUCCAGUAGGGAACAAGAGAGAGAGAGAGAGUGAGAAAACCCAGGUGGGAAUGACAAAUGAGAUGCUGCCACUACAGAAAUACAACAAUGACAUACAAUCAAUGGAGGAUGCCUGCUCCCCAUACCUCAUGUGGAUUUUGAGGAGGAAGCCACAGCAGAAAAGUAGAAGUCCCUCUACUGUGGCUACAUGCAUUACUAUUCUACAACCACUCAUAGGCUAAGAACACAUGCUGGUGAUGGCGGUGCUCGGGAAGCAAGGAAGGUGAUGCACAGAGAGUAGCUGGAGGUUGCGAGUGCUUCAUACAGGACCAGCUGUUCUUGGAUGUGCCUCCGUGUACAACAUCCUGUCCCUCCAACCUACAUCAUCACAGUUUGUGCCCUUCAAGCCCCACAUCCCUUUCACUGAAGCCACCUCCUUAUUCCCAUAAUUGACCCCCAAUACACCCAAACUAUGAGACGACAGUUAAAUUGGGAUGAGAACUUCAAAAGUGAAAAUGAGGGCUAGUGGUGCAGCUCAGUGGUGUAACACUAAUGUAGCAUGCGUGAGAGCUUGGGUUUAAUCCUCAAUGCUGACCCCAUCCCUCUAAAACCCCCACAGAAACUGAAGACAAUUUACAUUUGGUUGUCCUGUGAACUUACUAGCUGAGCUUCAUGUGCUUUUUUUAGAGCUAGAGGAACAAUGAUCACAAAACUAAAAGAGUAAAAUUUUCCAAAAAUUCACCACUUCUUAAAAUAAACCAAAGAUUAGUAAAAGUAGCAAGAAUCAAUUUUUUCCAGAACUCUGGAAAUUUAACCAGGACUUGUAGCAAGUGUAGAAAUGUUUCUUGAGGGAAAGUAGUUUAAUCUCAGUAUGAAAAGUAAGAUUUAUAUAACUCGCUAUAGUCCUGUACCCCUUUCAGCCGCUCAAGACAUCAUACAGAGAGCCCACAGGUCAGACGAGAAGUGGCAGCCACUAGUGGGAACAGAACAGAGCUGGAAAUUUUGCCAAGACUCAUUGCAAAGAGUUGUUAUUAGUUUACCUGUGCAAAUAAAAGAAAACAACAAAAUAUCUAGUGAACUGAGCAAAGUGGAAAUUUGUUUUCCUCCUAUGUAAUGAAAGUUGGGGCACAGCUUCAGGACUGAGAUCAUAGCUCUGGACAUCAGGUGCACGUUCCUUAAAGCUUUCCAUGGCAUCUAUCCAGAUGGCCCAUGUUCUCUGAGUUCAAGAUGGCUGCUGGAUUAGAGUUCUCACACUGAUAUUCCAAGGGCAUGAUGGACAGAUGGGUAAAUAAGAAAGGAGUACAUGGCAUACAACAGCUACAUUUUGAGAGGAUUCCUAGAAGGGGCAUGCACUUGUCAUUGAACGGAGCUAACUCACAUGACUAUACUGGCUGCAAGGGAAGCUGAAAAAGUGUUACACAUUCAGUUUAAAAAGGAGAAGAAAAGGAUGGAGGGAAUGAUAAAUAUUCAGGGAGGUAUCUGGCAAUAGCUACCAUUGUGAGACUGGAUAUCUGGGAGUAGGAGAAUGAAGAGCUACUGAGAUCUUUAUCAAAGUUGACAUAGGACAAAGACUGAGACUGCACACAGGGAUGGCCAUGCAAAUUUAUACCAAUUAGGUUCUAGAAUACAAAAUGGAAAUAAAGCCUACACUAAAAACAGAAUCUCACUUUACUAUUGCAAAAAAGCUUUCAUUUCAAGAGUUUUUUAAAGAUAUCAUUUUUCAUCUUGUAGCCAGACUUUUGCCUAAAGGAACUCUGGAAAUUUAACCAGGACUUGUAGCAAGAUAUUCAGUAAAGUAUGUAGACUACUACUACAUACUUUGAGAUACUAUGAGAUAUUCAGUAAAGUAUGUAGACUACUGCUGCUGAUCUUUCUAGUCCUUCAAAACCGAAAAGCCUAUCAAGGGCCUAAGCGCAGCUUUCCCAGGUGACUCUGGAGAUGGUCAAUGGAUGUUGCGGACACUCGAGCCAGAGCACACAUUUUCCUUGUAUCUCAUUUUUAGAAAGGUUUAAUAAACAAAUUCUCUCUGAGCAGAAGAGGAAGUGGAAAUGUAAUGUAUUAAAUUCAAAAUGGCAGUUUUGAUGAUUUCAAACAAGUGGAAUUCAUUAUGUAGAUACUUUUUAUAAGUAGCAGAUAAAGUCAGGUAUAAAGGAAAAAUACUGUUUUUAGUUCUAAUAAGGUUAGACUGCCCUAUGAAGAAGUGUUUAUAUUUCAUGGGACAUUACUUAACAUGAUGUUAAAAAGGUUUUAGAGGCCACAUAAAAUUGAAUCAAAGUCAAUAUAGUUUGCUCUUGGAGAUUAACAAUGCACACAAUAUGCUCAAGAUAUUCACAUUAUAGAGAGAUAUUUACAUUAAAGAAAUUAACUUUGUAAAAGCUAGCAUUUGUAGCUAUUGGACCAAACCUUUUUCCCCCCAACAUAUCAUGAGAAGCUGCUAUUCCUCAGGAUAGAGUUGGAAAAAUGAUGUCAGGGCAUACUGUGUUAAAAUGCUGGGAAUGCUCUAACCAUUUAUGCUCAGAAAGUUUCCAGCUUUUCCCUACAGAAAAAUCUACAGGUUAUUUCACUGCAGGCACCAACAAAUAAUUACUGGACUGGCACCAGCCCACAGAUCAUGCAUUCGUGUGGCCGGCAUGUCAUCGCCCUCUCUGCAUUUUCCCUCAGAGAGACUUCCCUGAAGAGAACACACUUGGCCUCCCUUCAAACCCUCAUCAGUUCUCCCAGAGGCAGGGAUAGCGGAAUUUCACAGGACCUGUCUUGUGGAGUUCAUAUGGAAUGUGAUCAGUGUUGAUGAAGAUACUUCUGAACUGUGGUGCCAUAUACUACAGAAUUCAUAGUGACGGUAAUGAAGAAGAUGAUCGUGACAAUGACAAAAGCUAUAAAAUGAAACAUGGACUUUUCAUCUUGGUCCUUGUACCAACUCUUUACUUCCCCUUGAUGUUCUCCUCUCUUCUACUCCAGCCAACAUGACAGGGAGAUCUUCACUUCCCUUAAAAGGAAGGAAUCAUUUAAGACUUGAACAUCUACUAAGCUCAAAUUCUGUUUAAUUUUCAAUUAUAGGAAAUGCAGAAUACAGUUCCUGAGAAAUUAUUUUGAGGGCUUAUACCAGUAUAAUUUGGGGCUGUGAGAUGGUGAAAUUGUGUCUUUUAAAUUGGAAUUAUAAGAAAAUAAUAAAUGGGACUCCACUGGAAUAUUUAUUUGAGGUCCUAAGAGUUCCCAAACAUU
Molecule: long non-coding RNA, 4524 nt
Organism: Chinchilla lanigera (long-tailed chinchilla)
Lineage: Eukaryota; Metazoa; Chordata; Mammalia; Rodentia; Chinchillidae
Exons: 11
Source: RefSeq, a predicted model, not a curated record